RNAcentral lists this transfer RNA (65 nucleotides) under Scaphiophryne marmorata (marbled rain frog). RNAcentral's name for it is "tRNA-Trp". It matches the Rfam family "tRNA". Rfam says of the family: Transfer RNA (tRNA) molecules are approximately 80 nucleotides in length. Their secondary structure includes four short double-helical elements and three loops (D, anti-codon, and T loops). Further hydrogen bonds mediate the characteristic L-shaped molecular structure. tRNAs have two regions of fundamental functional importance: the anti-codon, which is responsible for specific mRNA codon recognition, and the 3' end, to which the tRNAs corresponding amino acid is attached (by aminoacyl-tRNA synthetases). tRNAs cope with the degeneracy of the genetic code in two manners: having more than one tRNA (with a specific anti-codon) for a particular amino acid; and 'wobble' base-pairing, i.e. permitting non-standard base-pairing at the 3rd anti-codon position. The record is from RNAcentral. Lineage: Eukaryota; Metazoa; Chordata; Amphibia; Anura; Microhylidae.
GAACUUAGGAUAACUAGACCAAGGGCCUUCAAAGCCCUAAGUAGAAGUUAAACUCUUCUAGUUUC